Molecule: long non-coding RNA, 870 nt
Organism: Drosophila biarmipes
Lineage: Eukaryota; Metazoa; Arthropoda; Insecta; Diptera; Drosophilidae
Exons: 13
Source: RefSeq, a predicted model, not a curated record
UCCGAGUACGGUCACAUCGACACGUGCAUUCUUUCAUUUCUUUUUUCCAUCCAAAAUGGCCAGUCGAGUUUUCUCUCUUGAUUCCCAGCUAAAGUUUAACAAAAGGAGUGCCACGCGGUAGCAGCAACCAUCUGCUGAAAAUGAAUGGAAAAUAUAAAGAUUUGACGGUUUUUCGCCAGAAGGAACACACGUGUCCGAAAGUAAGACGUACUCUUCAAAAGACUCUACAUCUACUGGACAUGGAUCUCAGCAUAGAUUGACGGACUUGAGGGGAUAAGUGUAACAUCCAGUUUAAUUCUUGAGAUGACUAAAAUCCAGGAACUGAUGAUAAGCCCUAACUUGGCUCGCAGCUUUAGCAUGAAACUACCUUAUUAGUUGGUAGGUGCCAGAAUAAUCGAAGAAAUGAGAACUGCGUUGGAACUGUAAGAAAUAUGUAUUGAAGUACAUUACUGUGGCUGUCAACUUUGCUAAACAUCAGCAAAGAUGGGUAUGAAAGCUUCCCCUGUAUAAAAGGAUUUCAAAAUGCAAAGACAAGGCCAGAUGAAAUGCGCAUCAUAGUCAUUUACAAAACUGAAUACUAAAAUGAUACCUAUAACAUUAAAUGUUAUGCAGGCCAAGCUGCAAUAGAACUUCGCUUAUCAAAUAGAAACCCGGUGGGCAAGUUAAAAAGACUAAUAUGAUGUUGAGGCACUCGGCAAUUGCUGACGGCUAUAUAAUAUAUUAAGAUAACUGGGGAAUGCUUUGGAAUAUACUUGCCAAUCAGCCUAUAAAGAUACUCCACGGCUCGUGCAGAAACCCCAAAAUGUUCUAGAAAUACCACUGAUGUAUCUUAUCUAUGAAUAAAAAUACGAAAGACUUGGUUUAAUAUAA